Molecule: ribosomal RNA, 433 nt
Filed under: uncultured bacterium
Lineage: Bacteria
Description: partial 16S ribosomal RNA
Rfam family: Bacterial small subunit ribosomal RNA
Source: RNAcentral
AGCGAACGCUGGCGGCAGGCCUAACACAUGCAAGUCGAACGGAUCCUUCGGGAUUAGUGGCGGACGGGUGAGUAACACGUGGGAACGUGCCCUUUGGUUCGGAACAACUCAGGGAAACUUGAGCUAAUACCGGAUGUGCCCUUCGGGGGAAAGAUUUAUCGCCAUUGGAGCGGCCCGCGUCUGAUUAGCUAGUUGGUGAGGUAACGGCCCACCAAGGCGACGAUCAGUAGCUGGUCUGAGAGGAUGAUCAGCCACACUGGGACUGAGACACGGCCCAGACUCCUACGGGAGGCAGCAGUGGGGAAUCUUGCGCAAUGGGCGAAAGCCCGACGCAGCCAUGCCGCGUGAAUGAUGAAGGUCUUAGGAUUGUAAAAUUCUUUCAGCGGGGACGAUAAUGACGGUACCCGCAGAAGAAGCUCCGGCUAACUUCGUG